Molecule: ribosomal RNA, 116 nt
Filed under: Danio rerio (zebrafish)
Lineage: Eukaryota; Metazoa; Chordata; Actinopteri; Cypriniformes; Danionidae
Source: RNAcentral
GCCACAGUCAUGUCACCCUGCAGCCCGAGAGCGGUUACUCACUCAAGCUGAGCAGGGCUGAGUGGGGUCAGUGUCUGGAUUGGAGACCAUAUGGGAACACUAGGCUGCUGUUAGCA